Triticum urartu is the source of this 115-nucleotide non-coding RNA. Lineage: Eukaryota; Viridiplantae; Streptophyta; Magnoliopsida; Poales; Poaceae. The record is from Rfam.
UUUCUACUCCCUCUAUUCGGAAUUACUUGUCGCAGAAAUGGAUGUAUCUAGACGUAUUUUAGUUCUAGAUACAUCAAUAUCCGAGACAAGUAACUCCGAACAGAGGGAGUACGUC